Non-coding RNA from Streptomyces atratus, 75 nucleotides. NCBI's taxonomy places the organism in Bacteria, Bacillati, Actinomycetota, Actinomycetes, Kitasatosporales, Streptomycetaceae. The record is from Rfam.
CUUCACCGAGCCGAGCAACAGCGGCCGUCCGGCCGGCCGCUCCUGGCCGUAGGUGGCGAGCAGGGCCUGCGCCUC